Molecule: ribosomal RNA, 468 nt
Filed under: uncultured bacterium
Lineage: Bacteria
Description: partial 16S ribosomal RNA
Rfam family: Bacterial small subunit ribosomal RNA
Source: RNAcentral
GACGAACGCUGGCGGCGUGCUUAACACAUGCAAGUCGAACGGAAAGGCCCUGCUUUUGUGGGGUGCUCGAGUGGCGAACGGGUGAGUAACACGUGAGUAACCUGCCCUUGACUUUGGGAUAACUUCAGGAAACUGGGGCUAAUACCGGAUAGGAGCUCCUGCUGCAUGGUGGGGGUUGGAAAGUUUCGGCGGUCGGGGAUGGACUCGCGGCUUAUCAGCUUGUUGGUGGGGUAGUGGCUUACCAAGGCUUUGACGGGUAGCCGGCCUGAGAGGGUGACCGGCCACAUUGGGACUACGAUACGGCGCAGACUCCUACGGGAGGCAGCAGUGGGGAAUAUUGCACAAUGGGCGGAAGCCUGAGGCAGCAACGCCGCGUGCGGGAUGACGGCCUUCGGGUUGUAAACCGCUUUCGACUGUGACGAAGCGUGAGUGACGGUAAUGGGUAAAGAAGCACCGGCUAACUACGUG